This is a long non-coding RNA of Leptopilina boulardi, 642 nucleotides long. RefSeq lists it as uncharacterized. The record is from RefSeq and is a predicted model, not a curated record. The transcript is spliced from 2 exons. NCBI's taxonomy places the organism in Eukaryota, Metazoa, Arthropoda, Insecta, Hymenoptera, Figitidae.
GUAUAUAAAACGGAGAACUAUGUCCACGUCAUGUACAUAUUCUUGUUCGUUCUCGUUCACAUCACACCUAUACAGGACAUAAAUCAUUUCUUUUUUUUUCAUUUUUUUAAAGUAAAGGGAAAAAGUGGGUAUAUUAUGCAGAAAUGGACACUGGAAGUUCCUGAUGCUCCAAAGUAAGGCCUAAGAAUAUGAUUGCAUUUUAUAACUGUAAUGCAAAUGAGCUUAUGCUGUGUGCUGAAGAAAAGAGAAGAAAUUUGGGAACAAUUAAAAAAAGCACGAUUUUUAUAAAGAGAGCUAACCAUCGACAGUAUGGUACAAUUUCACUGUCAUGGAGUUGCUCUCUUUGUGGAUGUCGCUUAAAUCAUCAACUUUUAUUGAAGACGCGGCAAUAGUGUAUAAUAAUAAUUAUAAGUUUAUUUAUUAUUUCGCGGGUGAUUAUGUGAGAAAUGUUAUCGACCGAAAAAAUCGAAUUUUUUUAAAUCAUGGUUUCUUAUAGUUUAAGAAUUAAAAAAUGCAAUGCGACAAUUUUUAAACAAAAUUUUUUUUUGGUCGAUAUCACCCUUUUCUCAGACACGAUCACAUUAUAUCAUCAAAUUAUUAUGGUUAUGCAUUUUUAAAAUAAAGUAAUUUAUUAUCUUCGUA